CCUACGGGUGGCAGCAGUGAGGAAUAUUGGUCAAUGGGCGCGAGCCUGAACCAGCCAAGUCGCGUGAGGGAAGACGGUCCUAUGGAUUGUAAACCUCUUUUGUCGGGGAGCAAAAGACGCCACGCGUGGCGUUCCGAGAGUACCCGAAGAAAAAGCAUCGGCUAACUCCGUGCCAGCAGCCGCGGUAAUACGGAGGAUGCGAGCGUUAUCCGGAUUUAUUGGGUUUAAGGGGUGCGCAGGCGGAAGAUCAAGUCAGCGGUAAAAUUGAGAGGCUCAACCUCUUCGAGCCGUUGAAACUGGUUUUCUUGAGUGAGUGAGAGGAUAGUGGAAUUCCAGGUGUAGGAGUGAAAUCCGUAGAUAUCUGGAGGAACAUCAGUGGCGAAUGCGACUAUCUGGCACAUAACUGACGCUGAGGAGCGAAAGCGUGGGUAGCAAACAGGAUUAGAUACCCUUGUAGUC
This 459-nucleotide ribosomal RNA is filed under the name uncultured bacterium. RNAcentral describes it as "partial 16S ribosomal RNA". It matches the Rfam family "Bacterial small subunit ribosomal RNA", at positions 338 to 795 of the family's 1533-position model. The record is from RNAcentral.